This 3866-nucleotide unclassified non-coding RNA is filed under the name Leishmania donovani. RNAcentral's name for it is "gene:LdHU3.32.4570(CDS-product:hypothetical_prote in_conserved)". Lineage: Eukaryota; Euglenozoa; Kinetoplastea; Trypanosomatida; Trypanosomatidae. The record is from RNAcentral.
CUCAUUUUUUGCCCUCCUCUUACCUUUUGGGUCCCGCCUUAAGUGGCUCCCAACGACACCAAAGUUGGCGUUGGCGAGCGAGUAGGAAAGCGCGCACGCGCUUCAUCAGUAGAACGCCAGGGAAGGGACUGCGGCGCGAGAUCGGUACGCGUGCCCGAAAAAAAAAAUCAGACCAACACAGGGGGCGUGCUGCGACUGCAACAGCUCCGCACCUCUCUUCCUUUCUCUUUGUUGCACGCAGACACCACCACGAACCAACGUGCACACGAAGUAGGCACACCUACAGGUACGUGGAAGGAGCAGCGGAAGCGAGCGACGCUACUCGAUCCCUGCCUGCAUACUUAGUCUCUCUGUCUCGUCCUAAGAGGGGGAGGGGUAGCACAGGAAUGAGUAGCGGCAAUCGCGAAGGCGGCUGCGGGGGCCUCAGCCGCUCUUCACCCGGCAACUUCACGGAACACCUCCACUCUUCGCAAGGCAACCGCGCCAGCGAGGCAGGCACGGACACCAUCAUGUCCGGGGGCAAUGCUGGCAACAACGCCGAGGAGCGCGCUGUCGCGUUCGCCACGGCCGAUCACGGAGUCGUCAGCCUCAACUUGAAUGACCUCUCCAGCGCGCUCGGCGUUCGCAGAGCAGAUGUCGUGUCGCAAGGGCUGAUGUUUCAGGCCCAUUCAGCACCCUCUUCUCGUACUAACCGCUCCCUCCAGGGAAGCGCCCUCCAGACAACGGGAGAAAAUCUGCUGAGCUCCUUUCCUGCCACCGGCACCACCGCCGCAGCGGAGACCCCGUUGCCGACCGCAGAGGCUGCUUACAGUCUCCACAACGUUCCCAAGGCUCUUCCGUCGCCGCCGUGGCCAGCGCACUACCGGCGGCGACACAGCACGCUUCGCGGCACCCAGCUAGACCUCGACCCGUUGAGGAUGCCCGCCGGAACGAUACGACUGUCACCGCCGCCUCAGUCAACAUCGCCGUCCCCCUCAAUCAUCCGUGCGUUCCCGUCGUUACCGUGCCGCGGCACACCGCCACCAGGUCGCUCCAACGCGCUGCGCUGGGCACUAGCUGGCGACAACGGUGCUGCCACAGCCUUUGCCGGCAAUGUCCCGUCUUCCAUCCGUCGCGCCGGCGCCGGAGCUGCCAUGCUCGAACAUGAAGCCGCAGAGCGACGCCCGCCAGCGGAUGACGAGGAGGUGUCUGCGUACGGCGACGGCGCGCCGCUGCUGAGUGGGAUAGCGUCGCUGCAGGAGUGCCGCAGCGGUGCCGCGUCCGCCCCACGCAACACACCAGCCUCUGCCUUUCGCACAAGCGACACGGCAACUUCCCUUCCGCUGUCGCCAACGGACAGAGGAGAGGGGCAGCCGCGUCAGCAUGGGGAGCACGAGGCGGUGACGUCGGCGGCCCCCAGCGUUCCCUCACGCCGUGUGCACUUCUCCGACGACGUCAUCGAGUCCAUUCACGUUGCGCGGCAGGAGGAGGAUUACAUGCGCCUACUGGUCGUGUACAACCGUCCGUGGUACGCCUACGCGCUCCUUGUCCUCUUCAGUCUCUUCUUCGGGCUGUCGUACGCCAGCGUCAUGUACCUGGAAGAGGAUCAGUCGGAGCUGAGGGAUCGCGCCACGUCGGUGGCGUUUGUGCUCUUCCUUUUUGUAGGGGCGGGGGCCGUCACGCUGACGGCGCACCUCCUGUUGUGCAGGCAGCUAGACAGCGAGGAGGAGCCGAGCUUCAUCGAAGACGCGGGCCAGCGGCGGCGGCUACCGAAGCUGUGGUCCUACAGCGUACUUUUUUUUAGCGCAUCAGUAGCAGCCAUUGCUUUGAGCCACUUCAUCAGCUUGACCGUAGCGGUCGUCAUGGUGAUCUCGCUCGCGUGCCACCUCGUCGCGGAGCUCCACAACCGCGGUGACGGCGGGGAUUGUGUGACGCGCCAGGAUGCCCUCGGCUGCGCGACGGCUGGCCUUGGCGCGGCUCUGGUGGUGCUCGGCGGUUUAUGGCAAGAGAUGGCGACCUACCACGCCUCGCUGGGUGAAGCCCUUCUCUCGCUGUUGGGAUGGGGGUCGAGCGUGAUCGUCUCUGGCGUGUGCUGGGCGUGCUUCACGCGGCAGUUGCGUGAGAUGAGCCAGCGUGUGAGCCAGCAGUUCCUGCUCUCAACCUCGCUGGUGAUGUGUACAGUGGCGCUUGGCAUUGGGACGUACGUGGCAAACGUGGCCCUGACAUCUGAUGAAGCCAGCAGCGCCGCACUUGCUGGUGUAGCUGCCCAGACCACAGGCGGAGCUGAGGCGGCCAGCGCACUACAGUUGUUGGACCUCGUGCUUCUCCCUUGCCACCGGUUUUUCCCUGAUGUGGUGGUGCUGCUCGGUGGGGGCCUCUGCUCCCUCUUGUGCUGGUACGCCUACCACGCCGUGUCCUUCUACGUCGACCACGCUUCCAGCGCCGCGUGCAUGGUGCUGGGUGCCGUGCUCUCCGCUGUUCCUCUCAUUGUUGCUCGGGUGCUGCGCAUCGGGUGGGCAGAUGUCACCGCAUCAGCAUUGCUGCAGGGGUCGUUGGCAGUCAUGGUGGUUGGAGUGGUCGCGGUGGAGGCGGGGUCGGCGGUGGUGGUGUGGUCCGGUUUUCGGUAUCGUCGCGAGGUGGAGAUUCGAAUUGUGCUGGAGAAAAGUCGCUUCUCUUUUCCGCGCGCAAACGCCAAUGCAUAAACUCACGCAUUCACGGAAGAGGCACCGACGGAGGAGGGGCGCUGGGCUUGGCCAGUCCUAAGGUGUUAUCGCUGUUCUGCCGCCAUCUCCCUCUCCUUGUGUUUUGUAGGACCCGCACUAGCCACCUCCAAGCAUCAAGCCGGGGCUCGCGUUCCGUGUAUCCGCGGCGUGCUUGGUGCUGACAGCGGGUGCAUGUGUAUGCGCGGGUGCGCGGUCGUGCACCUCCUCGCCCCCCUCUCUUCCAUUACAUGCUUUGCUUCGCCACUGCUUGCAAUCAUGAGCGCCUGCGCCGUUCUUACUCGGCGUCUCGUAGACAUGCGAGGCGUUCGAGGGAAGCGGAGGGCGAGAGGCGGUACUUCAAUCAGCCCACCGGGCUUCCUGUACGCGCCCCCAUUUUCCCACCCUUCUCUGCCUCCUUGUAAAGCUGCUGUAACGCACUCUUCUUUCUCUUGUGCCGGCUGUUGUGGAGGCCAUGUGUGUGCCAACACCCAACUGCUGCUGCUAUAUAGGCACAUAUACACACACAUAUAUAUAUAUAUAUGUAUAUGCUCAGGUCUAGUUUUUUUUUGUCCGCGUUGCAUGAUUGCUCGUGAACAGAGAGAGGAGGAGGGGAGCAGACACAACGAUCGAUAACAUGGUGUGUGUCCCAAGCACACAUGUGCGUCUAUCUCUGAGUGUGUGCGCUGCUGUCCUCUCAUGAAUGCUGGAUGCCGCACAGGCUCUUUCUCUCUGUGUCUAUGCCCACCCUCGUUUUUGUGUUUGCUUCACGACUGCUCCGUCUUAUCGCUGUGCUGGACUGCUCACUCACACGCGUGCUGUGGUCACUUCCUCCCCCUCGGUCCGGUCUUUCUCUUCGUAGAGCAAGUGCACAGUGCUCUGCUAGCCGCUCUCGCUUUUUUUUUCUCCGUUGUCCCCUUCCCUUCCCUCCCUUCGCACGUACGCGUGCAUGUAUGUGUGCCUCCGUCUGCGUGCGUGCUAGUACAUCUGUCAACCUGCUCGGGGGUGCGCGCUGGCCUCUUGUGUUGCCUCGGCCUCGCUUCUUUCGUCCCCAGCUCUGCGGUCACUUGCUGGAUGAGUCAGACGUCAGAUAAAAGAAAGAUAAUGCUGAGCCGAUCAUGCUGUGCGGUCGCUGUCGCGGGGCAGUCGUACCCCUUGAUUGGCGGGUGUGCUGUUUGUCGAUGCGUG